ACCUUUUGUAUAAUGGGUCAGCGAGUUACUUUCAGUGGCGAGGUUAACUGAAUAAGGGAGCCGUAGAGAAAUCGAGUCUGAAUAGGGCGAUAGUCGCUGGGAGUAGACCCGAAACCGGGCGAUCUAGCCAUGUGCAGGAUGAAGGUUGGGUAACACCAACUGGAGGUCCGAACCGGGUAAUGUUGAAAAAUUAUCGGAUGACGUGUGGCUAGGAGUGAAAGGCUAAUCAAGCCCGGAGAUAGCUGGUUCUCCCCGAAAGCUAUUUAGGUAGCGCCUCGUGAAUGAUUACUGGGGGUAGAGCACUGUUUCGGCUAGGGGGCUGUCAUGGCUUACCAAACCGAUGCAAACUCCGAAUACCGGCUAAUUGAAUCACGGGAGACACACGGCGGGUGCUAACGUCCGUCGUGGAGAGGGAAACAACCCAGACCGCCAGCUAAGGUCCCCAAGUACUAGUUAAGUGGGAAACGAUGUGGGAAGGCAUAGACAGCCAGGAGGUUGGCUUAGAAGCAGCCACCCUUUAAAGAAAGCGUAAUAGCUCACUGGUCGAGUCGGCCUGCGCGGAAGAUGUAACGGGGCUAAAACUAGUCACCGAAGCUGCGGAUGUGCGCGAAAGCGCACGUGGUAGGGGAGCGUUCUGUAGGCUGAUGAAGGUGCAUUGAGAAGUGUGCUGGAGGUAUCAGAAGUGCGAAUGCUGACAUGAGUAACGAUAAUGUGGGUGAAAAGCCCACACGCCGGAAGUCCCAGGUUUCCUGCACGACGUUAAUCGGAGCAGGGUGAGUCGGCCCCUAAGGCGAGGCUGAAGAGCGUAGUCGAUGGGAACCAGGUUAAUAUUCCUGGACUUUUUAUAAGUGGUGAAGUGGGGACGAAGAAGGCUAGGUGAGCCAGGCGUUGGUUGUCCUGGUACUUGCAUGUAGGGGGGAAGACUUGGCAAAUCCGGUUUUCCAUAACUCUGAGGUGCGAAGUGGUUCUGACCUUUUGGUACAGAGAAGUCAUUGAUGCCCGGCUUCCAGGAAAAGCUGCUAGCCAUAACUUAUAGAGAACCGUACCGCAAACCGACACAGGUGGACAGGUAGAGAAUACUAAGGCGCUUGAGAGAACUCGGGUGAAGGAACUAGGCAAAAUGGUACCGUAACU
RNAcentral lists this ribosomal RNA (1134 nucleotides) under Legionella pneumophila. RNAcentral describes it as "partial 23S ribosomal RNA". It matches the Rfam family "Bacterial large subunit ribosomal RNA", at positions 603 to 1735 of the family's 2925-position model. Lineage: Bacteria; Pseudomonadati; Pseudomonadota; Gammaproteobacteria; Legionellales; Legionellaceae. The record is from RNAcentral.